UACCCCUGACCGCGGAGGAAAUACCCCCUCCCAAGCCGCUACCCGACCAAGCAAGCCUGGCGGUGAAAUCCCCAGACGAGUUGACAACGGAUCCGCAUGGGGGUCGAACCCGCGUCCACAAACAUGUUUCUCCCCAUAAUAAAUUGAUGUUUGUAUCCUUAACUUAUCCCAUGAAUGUCAACACUGUAUAAAUAAAAAAGAUACAUUAGUUGGUAAAUAAAAGAAACAACUUUGAAUAGUUGGCAAAACUCAUCCCUCUUGUUCUUACAACAAU
Molecule: long non-coding RNA, 274 nt
Filed under: Helianthus annuus (common sunflower)
Lineage: Eukaryota; Viridiplantae; Streptophyta; Magnoliopsida; Asterales; Asteraceae
Description: hypothetical non coding rna
Source: RNAcentral